ACGCUGGCGGCGUGCUUAACACAUGCAAGUCGAACGAUGAAGCCUAGCUUGCUAGGUGGAUUAGUGGCGAACGGGUGAGUAAUACGUGAGUAACCUACCUUUAACUCUGGGAUAAGCCCGGGAAACUGGGUCUAAUACCGGAUACGACCAAUCUCCGCAUGGGGUGUUGGUGGAAAGCGUUAUGUAGUGGUUAUAGAUGGGCUCACGGCCUAUCAGCUUGUUGGUGAGGUAACGGCUCACCAAGGCGACGACGGGUAGCCGGCCUGAGAGGGUGACCGGCCACACUGGGACUGAGACACGGCCCAGACUCCUACGGGAGGCAGCAGUGGGGAAUAUUGCACAAUGGGCGCAAGCCUGAUGCAGCGACGCCGCGUGAGGGAUGACGGCCUUCGGGUUGUAAACCUCUGUUAGCAGGGAAGAAGAGAGAUUGACGGUACCUGCAGAGAAAGCGCCGGCUAACUACGUG
Molecule: ribosomal RNA, 466 nt
Filed under: uncultured bacterium
Lineage: Bacteria
Description: partial 16S ribosomal RNA
Rfam family: Bacterial small subunit ribosomal RNA
Source: RNAcentral